GAGUUUGAUCAUGGCUCAGAAUGAACGCUAGCGGCGUGGAUUAGGCAUGCAAGUCGUACGAGAAAGUCCCUUCGGGGGCGAGUAAAGUGGCGAACGGGUGAGUAAUGCGUAAAUGACCUGCCCUCAUGACGGGGAUAACAGUUCGAAAGGACUGCUAAUACCGGAUGUGAUCUUUGGCUCACGGGCUGGAGAUUAAAGAUAGCCUCUGUUUCAAGCUGUCGCAUGGGGAGGGGUUUACGUGCUAUUAGCUAGUUGGUGGGGUAACGGCCCACCAAGGCGAUGAUGGCUAGCCGGCCUGAGAGGGUGUCCGGCCGCACUGGGACUGAGACACUGCCCAGGCUCCUACGGGAGGCUGCAGUCGAGAAUCUUCCACCAAUGCGGGAAACCGUGAUGGAGCGACGCCGCGUGUGCGAUGAAGGCCCUCGGGUUGUAAAGCACUGUCAGUUAACCCUAAUCCCCGGGGGUGAAUAGCUUUCAGGGUUGAAGUGUUAGCAGAGGAAGCACCGGCUAAAUCCGUGCCAGCAGCCGCGGUAAUACGGAUGGUGCAAGCGUUAUUCGGAAUCACUGGGCAUAAAGGGCACGUAGGCGGCGUCGUAAGUCAGUGGUGAAAUCCCCCGGCUCAACCCGGGGAAACUGCCAUUGAUACUGCGAUGCUAGAGUGUGGGAGGGGCAGACGGAAUUUCCAGGUGGAGCGGUGAAAUGGCGUAGAUUAUCUUGGAGGAACGCCAGGGGCGAAAGCGGUCUGCUGGCCCACACUGACGCUGAGGUGGCGAAAGCUAAGGGGGAGGCAAACAGGAUUAGGAUA
Molecule: ribosomal RNA, 805 nt
Filed under: uncultured bacterium
Lineage: Bacteria
Description: bacterial SSU rRNA
Rfam family: Bacterial small subunit ribosomal RNA
Source: RNAcentral